CAUGCAAGUCGAGGGGCAGCAUGAGGUAGCAAUACCUUGAUGGCGACCGGCGCACGGGUGAGUAACGCGUAUGCAACUUACCUAUCAGAGGGGGAUAGCCCGGCGAAAGUCGGAUUAAUACCCCAUAAAACAGGGGUCCCGCAUGGGAAUAUUUGUUAAAGAUUCAUCGCUGAUAGAUAGGCAUGCGUUCCAUUAGGCAGUUGGCGGGGUAACGGCCCACCAAACCGACGAUGGAUAGGGGUUCUGAGAGGAAGGUCCCCCACAUUGGUACUGAGACACGGACCAAACUCCUACGGGAGGCAGCAGUGAGGAAUAUUGGUCAAUGGCCGAGAGGCUGAACCAGCCAAGUCGCGUGAAGGAAGAAGGAUCUAUGGUUUGUAAACUUCUUUUAUAGGGGAAUAAAGUGGAGGACGUGUCCUUUUUUGUAUGUACCCUAUGAAUAAGCAUCGGCUAACUCCGUGCCAGCAGCCGCGGUAAUACGGAGGAUGCGAGCGUUAUCCGGAUUUAUUGGGUUUAAAGGGUGCGUAGGUGGUGAUUUAAGUCAGCGGUGAAAGUUUGUGGCUCAACCAUAAAAUUGCCGUUGAAACUGGGUUACUUGAGUGUGUUUGAGGUAGGCGGAAUGCGUGGUGUAGCGGUGAAAUGCAUAGAUAUCACGCAGAACUCCGAUUGCGAAGGCAGCUUACUAAACCAUAACUGACACUGAAGCACGAAAGCGUGGGGAUCAAACAGGAUUAGAUACCCUGGUAGUCCACGCAGUAAACGAUGAUUACUAGGAGUUU
Molecule: ribosomal RNA, 779 nt
Filed under: uncultured bacterium
Lineage: Bacteria
Description: bacterial SSU rRNA
Rfam family: Bacterial small subunit ribosomal RNA
Source: RNAcentral